RNAcentral lists this long non-coding RNA (2549 nucleotides) under Nicotiana tabacum (common tobacco). RNAcentral's name for it is "long non-coding RNA (NTAB_LNC006857)". The record is from RNAcentral. Lineage: Eukaryota; Viridiplantae; Streptophyta; Magnoliopsida; Solanales; Solanaceae.
UUUUCUACUCCACAGCUGCUGCUGCUGCAACUUCCCGCAACAAUUUGUUGGCGGAAAUGCUAGUGAAUUCACUUGGUUUCUCCACAGAAAAAGCUAUUUCUACUAGCGCCAAGGUAACUUUCUUGAAACCUGGAAACAACAAGCCUCAAUUAGUCAUCAAUUUCUUCCAACAAAUUGGUUUGGACAAGACCCACAUCAAAACCCUUGUUUGUGCCACCCCUAGUUUGCUGUUUUCUGAUGUUGACAAAACCCUUAAACCCAAAAUUAAGGUUCUUCAAGAACUUGGAUUAUCUGGGUCCGACAUAGCUAAAGUCCUCUCAAAAACUGGGAUUUUCUUGCUUUCUAGUCUUGAAAAUACAAUCAGACGCAAUAUUAGUUAUCUCCGACAACUGUUAGGUAGUGAUGAUUCUCUUGCUAAAGCCAUUAGGAAAGACUCUAAAAUCCUUUGGUAUAAUGCCCCUAAAGUAAUGUCACCCAAUGUAGCUUUCCUGCGAAAUCUUGGGUUUUCAGGUAAGGAUAUCGAGAAGCUUAUUCUACGAGAUCCAAGGAUUCUUCUUCUAAAAGAGACUAAGUGGCUUGAGAAUGCAGUGCAUCGAGUAGAAAGGAAUUUACACAUUCCUCGGGACUCCAACAUGUUUAUCUAUGGAUUUAUGGUUACUGCAUCCCUUGGGGAAUCAUGUUUGGAGAUGAAAUUAAGAACUUUCAGGAGAUUUGGGUGGUCCGAUUUGGAAAUUCUUACACUGGUGCAGAAACUUCCUUUAUGCUUGACCUCAUCAGAGGCUAGGCUUGGAAAAGGAUUGAAUUUUUUCAUGAAGGAGCUUGCCGGUUACCUGGCUUCUCACCCCGCUCUCUUAACAUUCAGCUUGGAGAAGAGGGUAUUGCCUAGGCAUGAAAUCUUGAAACUUCUUGACCAGAAGAAGCUGGCAAAGAGUAGCCUAAAUCUUUAUACUGCUCUGAUGGUGCCUGAAUCAAAAUUUUUGAAUAGUUAUGUGCUGCCUUAUACAGAUGAGACGCCUGAGCUCUAUGAGUUAUACAUGAAUAGUAGACGAUAGUAGAAUGCGUCGAGGAAACCACUUUGUGGAUAAUGUUGUUCUCAAGAAAAUCUCUUCUUGGAAACGUUAGCUGGUUCACCUUUCAUAGCUUAGGAGAGAUUCUGUUGACGAAUAGAUUCUUAUUUGCCAUUUGAUGCUGUUUUCCUAAGUGGAGAAUGAAGACAGUUUUACCUUCUAUUAUGUGGAUUUAUAAAUGCAGAAAUGCAUGGUAAGACUGCGUACGGCGGGUGCUUAGUGCACCGGGCUUCCCUUUUUUUAUGUGGAUUUAUAAAUGUAUAUCUCUAUCAAGAUAAUUUCCUGGUUGUAGCUGAAAUUUCCACCUCCUUUCGGUCGUUUUGAGUUUGGUGCUGCUAAAGCCAUAACCUGCAGCACUCUAUUCAAAUGAUAUACUCUUGCUUGGGAUGAUUUGCAAGUCUAUCUUUUAUCAGUGGAUAGUAUUGCUGCUAAAGUUCCUUCAUUGUCUUUCUGUCUUUCAUCUUUUGACCCCCUAGGGUGAAGGGGUUGUUACAACAACAACUACUACUACUACUACUACUACAUCUCAGUCCAAAAGGAGAAUGCUUGUUAGAGUAAAAGAAAUACUAUACUAUGGUUUCUGUAAUUCGAAACUCCAAGAAGAUAGAAACUAAUAAGAAUACACAUAGCUGAAGAAGAUUUGGUUAAGAAGUCAAGUUAAAGCUUUUUCUUGUAAAAAUAUAUGCUGAAAAUAUAUUUCCAAAUGCUUAAUUUAAUCAGCAUUGUAGGCUCUAAAAGCAGCUUCUUUACAUAUGUAAUCAGCACUUACCCCAUUUUCAAAGAUUCCUUGGUGCUGAACAUGUCAAUAAGAUUUUGAAUGCUACUGGUGUAAUGGUUUGGAACAUUUUCAACAUCAAUGUACACAUGCCUAUUUCAAUUUGGAUACUCAAUCCUAGCUUCAUUUACUAGCAGUUUACUCACAAUAUCUGGAGAAAUCAUCGUGAGUUGAAAGUCGACCAUCAUCCAGAUGACGAUGUAUCUUGGCUUGAGUUCUUUGACAGAUGGCGGCAGGGAGGUCUCCUUUGACAGUAAAUUCACCUGAAUGAAGUGCAAGAGCGAUCUCAGUAGACUUAAGAGUAGCAUUUAUUUUACAUUUAAGUUAAUGAGGAAUAUUAAGUUUUUGGCCGCCUCAUUAAACAAUUUCAAGCUGAUUGGAGUGGUGAAUUCCAAGCUUUAACUUCAUAUUUAAGAACUCAUGGCAUUACCCAAUGUAUUUCAUGCCCCCACACACUUGUUGUGCUGAGCGAAAGCAUCGCCAUGCUACUGAGCACUCUUGCAUCAUGCCUGUAAAAUGGGCCAUAUGUUAUAAACGGAAGCAACUAAAUAUCAUAAACGGAAGCAUGAUUCUCUCAUAGGUCUUCUAAUUAGAAAUAAAAUAAGGUUUUGGUAGUUUCAAUUUCUAUGCAUUUUAGGAAAAACGUUGGCCUCAAAUUGAGCUUAUCCACAACAAAUUAAUAUUGACCAUAGAGUAAUGAAUAUGCG